GAUGAACGCUGGCGGCGUGCUUAACACAUGCAAGUCGAACGAUGAAGCCCAGCUUGCUGGGUGGAUUAGUGGCGAACGGGUGAGUAACACGUGAGUAACCUGCCCUUAACUCUGGGAUAAGCCUGGGAAACUGGGUCUAAUACCGGAUAGGAGCGUCCACCGCAUGGUGGGUGUUGGAAAGAUUUAUCGGUUUUGGAUGGACUCGCGGCCUAUCAGCUUGUUGGUGAGGUAAUGGCUCACCAAGGCGACGACGGGUAGCCGGCCUGAGAGGGUGACCGGCACACUGGGACUGAGACACGGCCCAGACUCCUACGGGAGGCAGCAGUGGGGAAUAUUGCACAAUGGGCGCAAGCCUGAUGCAGCGACGCCGCGUGAGGGAUGACGGCCUUCGGGUUGUAAACCUCUUUCAGUAGGGAAGAAGCGAAAGUGACGGUACCUGCAGAAGAAGCACCGGCUAACUACGUG
This 465-nucleotide ribosomal RNA is filed under the name uncultured bacterium. RNAcentral's name for it is "partial 16S ribosomal RNA". It matches the Rfam family "Bacterial small subunit ribosomal RNA", at positions 28 to 507 of the family's 1533-position model. The record is from RNAcentral.